This 395-nucleotide ribosomal RNA is filed under the name uncultured bacterium. RNAcentral's name for it is "partial 16S ribosomal RNA". It matches the Rfam family "Bacterial small subunit ribosomal RNA", at positions 523 to 918 of the family's 1533-position model. The record is from RNAcentral.
CUACGUAUGGGGCGAGCGUUAUCCGGAAUUAUUGGGCGUAAAGAGUACGUAGGUGGUUUUUUAAGCGGGAGGUUUAAGGCUACGGCUUAACCGUAGUUCGCCUCUCGAACUGGAAGACUUGAGUGCAGGAGAGGAAAGCGGAAUUCCUAGUGUAGCGGUGAAAUGCGUAGAUAUUAGGAGGAACACCGGUGGCGAAGGCGGCUUUCUGGACUGUAACUGACACUGAGGUACGAAAGCGUGGGGAGCAAACAGGAUUAGAUACCCUGGUAGUCCACACUGUAAACGAUGGAUACUAGGUGUGCGGGGACUGACCCCCUGCGUGCCGGCGUUAACACAAUAAGUAUCCCACCUGGGGAGUACGGUCGCAAGAUUAAAACUCAAAUGAAUUGACGGGG